Molecule: unclassified non-coding RNA, 509 nt
Filed under: Streptococcus thermophilus
Lineage: Bacteria; Bacillati; Bacillota; Bacilli; Lactobacillales; Streptococcaceae
Description: partial contains 16S ribosomal RNA, 16S-23S ribosomal RNA intergenic spacer, and 23S ribosomal RNA
Rfam family: Bacterial large subunit ribosomal RNA (bases 381-509)
Source: RNAcentral
CGGUGAGGUAACCUUUUGGAGCCAGCCGCCUAAGGUGGGACAGAUGAUUGGGGUGAAGUCGUAACAAGGUAGCCGUAUCGGAAGGUGCGGCUGGAUCACCUCCUUUCUAAGGAAAAACGGAAUGUACUUGAGUUUCUUAUUUAGUUUUGAGAGGUCUUGUGGGGCCUUAGCUCAGCUGGGAGAGCGCCUGCUUUGCACGCAGGAGGUCAGCGGUUCGAUCCCGCUAGGCUCCAUUGAAUCGAAAGAUUCAAGUAUUGUCCAUUGAAAAUUGAAUAUCUAUAUCAAAUUCCAUAUGUAAGUAAUUACAUAUAGAUAGUAACAAGAAAAUAAACCGAAACGCUGUGAAUAUUUAAUGAGUUAGGUCGAAAGGCCAAAAAUAAGGUUAAGUUAAUAAGGGCGCACGGUGGAUGCCUUGGCACUAGAAGCCGAUGAAGGACGUGACUAACGACGAAAUGCUUUGGGGAGCUGUAAGUGAGCAAUGAUCCAGAGAUGUCCGAAUGGGGGAACCC